This 847-nucleotide ribosomal RNA is filed under the name Coriolopsis sp. RNAcentral describes it as "partial large subunit ribosomal RNA". It matches the Rfam family "Eukaryotic large subunit ribosomal RNA", at positions 77 to 911 of the family's 3401-position model. Lineage: Eukaryota; Fungi; Basidiomycota; Agaricomycetes; Polyporales; Polyporaceae. The record is from RNAcentral.
CCCCUAGUAACUGCGAGUGAAGCGGGAAAAGCUCAAAUUUAAAAUCUGGCGGUCUUUGGCCGUCCGAGUUGUAGUCUGGAGAAGUGCUUUCCGCGCUGGACCGUGUAUAAGUCUCUUGGAACAGAGCGUCAUAGAGGGUGAGAAUCCCGUCUUUGACACGGACUACCAGUGCUUUGUGAUGCGCUCUCGAAGAGUCGAGUUGUUUGGGAAUGCAGCUCAAAAUGGGUGGUAAAUUCCAUCUAAAGCUAAAUAUUGGCGAGAGACCGAUAGCGAACAAGUACCGUGAGGGAAAGAUGAAAAGCACUUUGGAAAGAGAGUUAAACAGUACGUGAAAUUGCUGAAAGGGAAACGCUUGAAGUCAGUCGCGUCUGCCGGAACUCAGCCUUGCUUUCGCUUGGUGCAUUUUCCGGUAGACGGGCCAGCAUCGAUUUUGACCGUCGGAAAAGGGCUGGAGAAAUGUGGCACCUUCGGGUGUGUUAUAGUCUCUAGUCGCAUACGGCGGUUGGGAUCGAGGAACGCAGCGCGCCGCAAGGCAGGGGUUCGCCCACUUUCGCGCUUAGGAUGCUGGCGUAAUGGCUUUAAACGACCCGUCUUGAAACACGGACCAAGGAGUCUAACAUGCCUGCGAGUGUUUGGGUGGUAAACCCGAGCGCGUAAUGAAAGUGAAAGUUGAGACCUCUGUCGUGGAGGGCAUCGACGCCCGGACCUGACGUUCUCUGAAGGAUCCGCGGUAGAGCAUGUAUGUUGGGACCCGAAAGAUGGUGAACUAUGCCUGAAUAGGGUGAAGCCAGAGGAAACUCUGGUGGAGGCUCGUAGCGAUUCUGACGUGCAAAUCGAUCGUCAAAUU